GAUGAACGCUGGCGGCGUGCCUAAUACAUGCAAGUCGAGCGAACAGACGAGGAGCUUGCUUCUCUGACGUUAGCGGCGGACGGGUGAGUAACACGUGGAUAACCCACCUAUAAGACUGGGAUAACUUCGGGAAACCGGAGCUAAUACCGGAUAAUAUAUUGAACCGCAUGGUUCAAUAGUGAAAGACGGUUUUGCUGUCACUUAUAGAUGGAUCCGCGCCGCAUUAGCUAGUUGGUAAGGUAACGGCUUACCAAGGCAACGAUGCGUAGCCGACCUGAGAGGGUGAUCGGCCACACUGGAACUGAGACACGGUCCAGACUCCUACGGGAGGCAGCAGUAGGGAAUCUUCCGCAAUGGGCGAAAGCCUGACGGAGCAACGCCGCGUGAGUGAUGAAGGUCUUCGGAUCGUAAAACUCUGUUAUUAGGGAAGAACAAAUGUGUAAGUAACUAUGCACGUCUUGACGGUACCUAAUCAGAAAGCCACGGCUAACUACGUG
Molecule: ribosomal RNA, 497 nt
Filed under: uncultured bacterium
Lineage: Bacteria
Description: partial 16S ribosomal RNA
Rfam family: Bacterial small subunit ribosomal RNA
Source: RNAcentral